GCGUCCACGGAUGCACGCCGGCCAGCGAGUUUUCGCCCGCCGGCGUAAAACCG
RNAcentral lists this small RNA (53 nucleotides) under Tardibacter chloracetimidivorans. RNAcentral describes it as "Sphingomonas sp. JJ-A5 ffh sRNA". It matches the Rfam family "ffh sRNA". The record is from Rfam by way of RNAcentral. Lineage: Bacteria; Pseudomonadati; Pseudomonadota; Alphaproteobacteria; Sphingomonadales; Sphingomonadaceae.